Molecule: transfer RNA, 64 nt
Filed under: Smaragdina concolor
Lineage: Eukaryota; Metazoa; Arthropoda; Insecta; Coleoptera; Chrysomelidae
Description: tRNA-Arg
Source: RNAcentral
AAGUAUGAAGCAAAAAUUUGCAUUUAGUUUCGACCUAAAAGUCUAAUCGUAAGAUUCUUACUUA